GAGGGUAUAGCUCAGUGGUGGAGUGUGUGCUUAGCAUGCAUAAGGUCCUGGGUUCAAUCCGCAGUACCUCCA
This 72-nucleotide transfer RNA is filed under the name Camelus bactrianus (Bactrian camel). It matches the Rfam family "tRNA". Rfam says of the family: Transfer RNA (tRNA) molecules are approximately 80 nucleotides in length. Their secondary structure includes four short double-helical elements and three loops (D, anti-codon, and T loops). The record is from Rfam by way of RNAcentral. Lineage: Eukaryota; Metazoa; Chordata; Mammalia; Artiodactyla; Camelidae. RNAcentral also lists the same sequence under 1 other name.